GGAUAGCUCAGUUGGUUAGAGCAUGGUGCUGGCAACACCAAAGUCGCAGGUUCGAUCCCUGUGUGGGACA
Molecule: non-coding RNA, 70 nt
Organism: Podarcis lilfordi (Lilford's wall lizard)
Lineage: Eukaryota; Metazoa; Chordata; Lepidosauria; Squamata; Lacertidae
Source: the annotation of a GenBank genome assembly